CAGGAGUGAUCUAAGCCGGAUUACCCCUACCAGAUCACCCCAGUUUGAGUUUCUUUGUUAUGCAUGCUUUCCUUUGUUCUGUGACAUUUUGGCGAGAAUGUUAAAUCCACUAUAAAACUUAUAAGACUAUCUUCCAAAAUUCACGAACUCAAGACCUUUAGCAUAUCAAGCCACGACACAUACCACUACACCUGGACGACUGGUUACGAACUAAAAGUAAUUUGAAAUACUUAAAGGAAGCAAGAUCUUUUUUUAA
Molecule: long non-coding RNA, 256 nt
Filed under: Mytilus galloprovincialis (Mediterranean mussel)
Lineage: Eukaryota; Metazoa; Mollusca; Bivalvia; Mytilida; Mytilidae
Source: RNAcentral